UACGUAGGGGGCAAGCGUUGUCCGGAAUCAUUGGGCGUAAAGAGCGUGUAGGCGGCCCGAUAAGUCCGCUGUGAAAGCCCAGGGCUCAACCCUGGAAUGCCGGUGGAUACUGUCGGGCUCGAAUCCGGAAGAGGUGAGUGGAAUUCCUGGUGUAGCGGUGAAAUGCGCAGAUAUCAGGAGGAACACCAAUGGCGAAGGCAGCUCACUGGGACGGUAUUGACGCUGAGACGCGAAAGCGUGGGGAGCGAACAGG
RNAcentral lists this ribosomal RNA (253 nucleotides) under uncultured bacterium. Its description in RNAcentral is "partial 16S ribosomal RNA". It matches the Rfam family "Bacterial small subunit ribosomal RNA", at positions 524 to 776 of the family's 1533-position model. The record is from RNAcentral.